This 373-nucleotide ribosomal RNA is filed under the name uncultured bacterium. Its description in RNAcentral is "bacterial SSU rRNA". It matches the Rfam family "Bacterial small subunit ribosomal RNA", at positions 28 to 402 of the family's 1533-position model. The record is from RNAcentral.
GACGAACGCUGGCGGCGUGCUUAACACAUGCAAGUCGAGCGGUAAGGCCCUUUCGGGGGUACACGAGCGGCGAACGGGUGAGUAACACGUGGGUGACCUGCCCUUAGCUCUGGGAUAAGCCUGGGAAACUGGGUCUAAUACCGGAUAUGACUCCAUAACGCAUGUUGUGGGGUGGAAAGCCUUGUGCGGCUAGGGAUGGGCCCGCGGCCUAUCAGCUUGUUGGUGGGGUGAUGGCCACCAAGGCGACGACGGGUAGCCGGCCUGAGAGGGCGACCGGCCACACUGGGACUGAGACACGGCCCAGACUCCUACGGGAGGCAGCAGUGGGGAAUCUUGCGCAAUGGGACGAAAGCCUGACGCAGCGACGCCGCGU